This is a non-coding RNA of Podarcis lilfordi (Lilford's wall lizard), 69 nucleotides long. NCBI's taxonomy places the organism in Eukaryota, Metazoa, Chordata, Lepidosauria, Squamata, Lacertidae. The record is from the annotation of a GenBank genome assembly.
ACUGUGGCUCAGGGCUAGAGUAUCUGCUUUGUAUGCAGAAAGUCCUAGGUUCAGUCCCCAGCAUCUGCA